GUCUUUAAUUUUUCCUUUUAUGUUGAUUUUUCGAUGUGGUGUAAUUCAUCAUUCGGCUAUAUUUACUUAUCUGCCAAAAAAAAAAAAAUCUGAUAAAUUAUGAUUCUAAUACAUUUAUGUAACUUUUACCCCCCCCUCCUCUUCCCUAUUUUGUCAAUAUUUGGAGGUUUUGUUUAUGUAUGGAUGAAUAAAACACAGUUACUGAUCAUAGAUCUACAUAGUAAUAGGCUUGUUAUGUAACUAUUCUGUUAUUCCAAUUUCAGUGAUUUUUUGGGUGCACAGUAGAGCUAGUUAGCAUCGAGUGAUGCUAAACAUGCAGUGUUUGUUUUUUCUCCUCAGGUUAAUAGGUACACUGUUGUCAUACAUGGAAAACCCUAGGAACUAUUUUCUACAGAUUGACACAUGAUAGGGCUGGUUGGGUGCAGCUUAUUGGAGUUUGUUAUACCUUUUUAUUUUGAAAAUAUGGAUAUUUCUCGAGUAGCAGUUUGCUUCUUGCGGAAUACAGGCGUGUGAAGAUUGCGAUUUACUUUUGUUUUUGUUGUCCAUGGAAGAAUCAUGAGGGAAACUUUUAUUUUUGAUUUACGUUAUUUUGAAUUCUGAACAAUAUUAUGUAUUUAAACAUUGUGUAUGUAUUAUGCAAUAUUAUGUAGUAGGAUAAUUUUGCUAAUGUGUUGUAAUGAAUGAAUGCAAGAAUAUUUGUAUUA
Camellia sinensis is the source of this 704-nucleotide non-coding RNA. Lineage: Eukaryota; Viridiplantae; Streptophyta; Magnoliopsida; Ericales; Theaceae. The record is from RefSeq and is a predicted model, not a curated record.